Molecule: ribosomal RNA, 446 nt
Filed under: uncultured bacterium
Lineage: Bacteria
Description: partial 16S ribosomal RNA
Rfam family: Bacterial small subunit ribosomal RNA
Source: RNAcentral
CCUACGGGGGGCAGCAGUCGAGAAUCAUUCACAAUGGGGGAAACCCUGAUGGUGCGACGCCGCGUGGGGGAAUGAAGGUCUUCGGAUUGUAAACCCCUGUCAUGUGGGAGCAAAUUAAAAAGAUAGUACCACAAGAGGAAGAGACGGCUAACUCUGUGCCAGCAGCCGCGGUAAUACAGAGGUCUCAAGCGUUGUUCGGAAUCACUGGGCGUAAAGCGUGCGUAGGCGGUUUUGUAAGUCGUGUGUGAAAGGCGCGGGCGAAACCCGCGGACGGCACAUGAUACUGCGAGACUAGAGUAAUGGAGGGGGAACCGGAAGUCUCGGUGUAGCAGUGAAAUGCGUAGAUAUCGAGAGGAACACUCGUGGCGAAGGCGGGUUCCUGGACAUUAACUGACGCUGAGGCACGAAGGCCAGGGGAGCGAAAGGGAUUAGAUACCCUGGUAGUC